GACGAACGCUGGCGGCGUGCUUAACACAUACAAGUCGAACGGAAAGGCCCUUCUUUUGUGGGGUGCUCGAGUGGCGAACGGGUGAGUAACACGUGAGUAACCUGCCCUUGACUUUGGGAUAACUUCAGGAAACUUGGUCUAAUACCGGAUAUGAGCUCCUGCUGCAUGGUGGGGGUUGGAAAGUUUCGGCGGGUGGGGAUGGACUCGCGGCUUAUCAGCUUGUUGGUGGGGUAGUGGCUUACCAAGGCUUUGACGGGUAGCCGGCCUGAGAGGGUGACCGGCCACAUUGGGACUGAGAUACGGACCAGACUCCUACGGGAGGCAGCAGGGGGGAAUAUUGCACAAUGGGCGGAAGCCUGAUGCAGCAACGCCGCGUGCGGGAUGAGGGCCUUCGGGUUGUAAACCGCUUUCGCCUGUGACGAAGCGUGAGUGACGGUAAUGGGUAAAGAAGCACCGGCUAACUACGUG
Molecule: ribosomal RNA, 468 nt
Filed under: uncultured bacterium
Lineage: Bacteria
Description: partial 16S ribosomal RNA
Rfam family: Bacterial small subunit ribosomal RNA
Source: RNAcentral